RNAcentral lists this ribosomal RNA (263 nucleotides) under uncultured bacterium. RNAcentral describes it as "partial 16S ribosomal RNA". It matches the Rfam family "Bacterial small subunit ribosomal RNA", at positions 793 to 1055 of the family's 1533-position model. The record is from RNAcentral.
GUCCACGCCCUAAACGAUGGCAACUAGUUGUUGGGGGAGCAAUCCCUUAGUAACGAAGCUAACGCGUGAAGUUGCCCGCCUGGGGAGUACGGUCGCAAGAUUAAAACUCAAAGGAAUUGACGGGGGCCCGCACAAGCGGUGGAUGAUGUGGUUUAAUUCGAUGCAACGCGAAAACCUUACCUACCCUUGACAUGUCAGGAAGUCCGCUGAGAGGUGGAUGUGCCCGAAAGGGAGCCUGAACACAGGUGCUGCAUGGCUGUCGU